RNAcentral lists this ribosomal RNA (495 nucleotides) under uncultured bacterium. RNAcentral describes it as "partial 16S ribosomal RNA". It matches the Rfam family "Bacterial small subunit ribosomal RNA", at positions 28 to 507 of the family's 1533-position model. The record is from RNAcentral.
GACGAACGCUGGCGGCGUGCCUAGUACAUGCAAGUAGAACGCUGAAGGAGGAGCUUGCUUCUCUGGAUGAGUUGCGAACGGGUGAGUAACGCGUAGGUAACCUGCCUGGUAGCGGGGGAUAACUAUUGGAAACGAUAGCUAAUACCGCAUAAGAGUAGAUGUUGCAUGACAUUUACUUAAAAGGUGCAAUUGCAUCACUACCAGAUGGACCUGCGUUGUAUUAGCUAGUUGGUGAGGUAACGGCUCACCAAGGCAACGAUACAUAGCCGACCUGAGAGGGGGAUCGGCCACACUGGGACUGAGACACGGCCCAGACUCCUACGGGAGGCAGCAGUAGGGAAUCUUCGGCAAUGGACGGAAGUCUGACCGAGCAACGCCGCGGGAGUGAAGAAGGUUUUCGGAUCGUAAAGCUCUGUUGUAAGAGAAGAACGAGUGUGAGAGUGGAAAGUUCACACUGUGACGGUAGCUUACCAGAAAGGGACGGCUAACUACGUG